Oncorhynchus gorbuscha (pink salmon) is the source of this 384-nucleotide long non-coding RNA. RefSeq lists it as uncharacterized. The transcript is spliced from 3 exons. Lineage: Eukaryota; Metazoa; Chordata; Actinopteri; Salmoniformes; Salmonidae. The record is from RefSeq and is a predicted model, not a curated record.
GCUAUUUUGUAGAUGACAUCGCCGAAGUCGAGGAUCGGUAGGAUAGUCAGUUUUACUAGGAUGACCAAGGAAGUUGCACAGAACUUCCCCAACAUCCCUUCCCAAAUUGAUAUGGAACCUUCACAAAAACACAUGGAGCAACUGCAAAAAGAAAUGGCUGAGGAUAUACUAAAAAUAUCUGGAAUGAAGACAAGAGUUCAACAGAAUAAAGAACACAAACUAGAAGUACAGUGUUGUUGAAAAUGUAUGCUGUACCCCAUCCACACUGAAGAGGCUCUGAAAUGUACAUCAACCAGGGAUAAAGAGAAAGUUUACACAAACAUGUACUUAUUUGAAGUGUCUGUUGACAUGUUGGAAAAGAUUAAAGGUCUACACUUUGUUUAA